Molecule: long non-coding RNA, 1494 nt
Filed under: Lathyrus oleraceus (garden pea)
Lineage: Eukaryota; Viridiplantae; Streptophyta; Magnoliopsida; Fabales; Fabaceae
Description: Pisum sativum (pea) long non-coding RNA (PSAT_LNC019699)
Source: RNAcentral
AAUAUAUAUAUAUAUAAUGUCAUUGUGUUGAUGAUGCCGUAUUAAUUUAAAUUAUCAUAUACUCUAUAACUUAUAAAUAGUAUUAUUGUGCAAUGUUGUGAGAAAUUCACACCACAACGACGGUUAUUUGCAAGCAACAUAUAUACGGACCAAAAUCGCGAGAGUCACAUCGCGACCACAACUCGAAUGAGACUAUUUUUUAAAAUCUUGCAGGCAUCCAUUAGAGUUAAGUAUAACUAUAAUACCUAAAUAAAAUAAAUAACAAUAUAUUCAAAUUCACCACUUCUGUCUCAAGUUGAAUAGCUAUUCUCGACCGUUGUUAGGUCAUUCACAAAUGAUAUCGCAACAUAUUAAUAAUUAAAAAUUAGUGGUUAAUAGACAAAGAUAAUGCCUUUUAAUAUAAAAAUAAUCUUCGCUUUCUCAAUCGCCAAAAUAAAUAGCACGAACAUAUUCAAUCUUUAGUGACCAAUAGCGAUCGGAGACAAUUUUUUUUGUAGUAUUAUCAAAUUAGUAUCCAAAACUUGAGUCUCUAAAUGAUAUUUCUAAUGUUGUGCUUGACUUUAAGAUGAAUGUAAUAAUUAGAUAUGGAAUAUAUAUUAAUUCCGUGUUAAAUUUAAAAUAAAAUGUAAGUUAAGUUAAAGAAAAAUCUCAAUUAUUAAAAUUUUAUAGUUAAUGUAGGGUGAAAACUGACAUAACAAAAUAAUUUUUAAUUUAAAUACUAAAAAUACUAUAAGAUUGUAAUGAAUGUAUGAAAAAUGAAUACUUGAAUUGAUACCUAAAAUUUAUAAAAAGAGAUAGUCUAAGUAAUAUUAAUUGAGACCUUAUUUUAUUUCAUAGCCUUCAUCUUAGAUUAUAAAGUCAUAAAAAUACAAUUCUUGAAAUUAAAUAAGAAAAUAAAAACAAAAGUUAAGUGACAGCACAAUUGAUAUAGUGAAAUUGGCCACUCUCUUGGAUAAUGAUCCUAUAUACUCCCUCUGUUUUUAUAUAAGUUUUUUUGGGAAGAAAAUUUAUAAUAAAAUAUAAAUUUGUUUUGUAAUACUACAAAAUUAUUAAUAUUAUUUUUUAAUUCUGUUCCAUACAGAAUGAUUAUUUUUUUAAGAUGUGUGGAAAAUAAAAAACAAUUUAUAAAAAGCAGAGAUAAUAUAAUAUUAAGAAGAUAUAAACUCUUCUGCCGCUGCUACACAUCUACACCAACUACUGACACACUUUACUGUCUUAGGUUCUUCACACAAAUAUGGAAGACAACCCGAAUCAGUAGAACAUCGAUAGAACACGGCUGUGAGGAUAAGAGAUGAUAAAGUAAUCAAAAUCAUAUUGGUCAAAAUAUUGUGUACAAAUUAAAUAAGAAAGUUUGAAAAACAUAAAAAUGACUUACAUUCAACAACGUUUAUAGAAGCAAAACAUAGAAAAGAUAUGAUAAUUGUCACAUAAACAAACUUUAUAAUUUUAGCCAUAUUUCUUCUCUUUUCCAUGUAAUAAAUGGUUUUAUCAUUU